Molecule: long non-coding RNA, 1766 nt
Filed under: Heterocephalus glaber (naked mole-rat)
Lineage: Eukaryota; Metazoa; Chordata; Mammalia; Rodentia; Bathyergidae
Description: lncRNA (ENSHGLG00000048267.1)
Source: RNAcentral
GUAUCUUUUUUUUUUGGUACCAGGGAUCGAACUCGGGUCCUUCCACUUAUGAAGCAGGCGGCGGAUAAGAGUAUCUUAAUAUGUUAAGAAAAGCUUAUUGGUUUUUUUUGGUUUUGGUACCAGGGAUUGAACUCGAGUCCUUGCACUUGCAAAGCAAGUGGCGGAACCACUGAGCUAAAUCCCCAGCCCAAGAAAACCUUAUUGUUUUAGACAUAUAAAGUUUAAUUUUUUCAAUUAUAGCCAAUUUAAAAUUUUUUACAGCAAAACAUUUAUUGGUACAUUUUAGGCAUACAUAAUGAUAACACUCAUCAUUGGGAAUUUGCACCUGUACAUGGUACAUCCCGCCCUUUUUCCCCAUUCCCCCCUCCAUUGUGUACACUGUAUUGUACAAUGUAUUGAAAUACAGCACAGAUAAAUUGACUUUCACCUUGAUGACACAUUUAUCCCAUUUAAAUGAGUAGUCAAAUAAAAAAAAAAAAAUGGCUGGGGAUUUGGCUCAGUGGCACUGCACCUGCCUUGCAUAUCCGAGGUCCUGAGUUCAAUCCCUGGUACCAAAAAAAAAUACAAAACUGGUGAUGAACUUUUCAUCUUCAAAUUCCUUGGUUUCCAUAAAUGACAGUAUCAUUUCACAAUUCACAAAAUCUUUCCAGCAUUUUACUCCAACUUGGCCACCUCACUUCAGCAAAGUAAAUGAUGUCCCCAUAAUCAACAUCCUUACUCUUAAAGAACUCAUGGAAUUGGUGAUGAUUCGAUCCCUAGGACCUCAUGAAAUUCACAGCUUUGAUGAUGAUUUGCAUAACAUCUUUUUGUUGUUGUUCUGGUACUGGGGAUCAAACUCAGGACCUUGGGCUUGCAAGGCAGGUGAGGCAGCACUGAGCUAACUCCCCGGCUGACUCACUGUUUCAACUCAUGGUGAUUUUCCUGCCUCAGCCUCCGGUACUGGGAUUAUAGGCAUGCACCACCACACCUACCUCCCAUAACAUCUUUUUUUUUUUUUUUUUUUGGUACUGCGAUUGAACUCCAGUCCUUGAACUUGGGUCCUUGCGUUUGCCCAGCAGGUGGCAAAACUACUGAGCUAAAUCCCCAGCCCUAGUUGUAUUUUAGUUUUGUUUUCUUUUUUUGGCAAUGGGGAUCGAACUCAGUACCAAAAACAAAAACAAAACAAAACAAAAAAAACAAAAUUAAGCAGAGUGCCUUAGUUCUCUCAACAAAAAGCACUCAUCCAUUUUCCACUGAAGAUUCUUCCUUCCAUUUUUCUUUUCUUGAGUUGUUUUCUUUUGAACUUGAACUUGUGAUCCUCCUGCUUCAGCCUUUCAGCAUGCUCAAAUCAUAGGUAUGGGCCAUUGUGAUGAAGCCAUUCUGUAGUUAGGAAAUUAAUAACCAUCUGUGUAUUUAUCUAAUUACCAGUAUAAUGCCAUGAACAAAAAACCUUUUUUGUACUUCUUAUAUCACAACUGCUAAAAAACCUAGUUUAACUCAUAGAAUUAUGAAAUAACACAAGCCCAAAUUUAACAGUAAGAAAAUUUACAAUAAAAUAAGGACUAAAUGUAUAAUAGGUAAUGUGAAAUAGGAAGAAAAGGGGCAAAGGGGAAGGAAGUGGGAGGGCUAGGGGAAAGGAUAGAAGGGAAUGGGAUUAAUAUGAGAAAAUGGAAAAAUAGGAACAAAAUCUUUGUAAAUAGGGAGGAAUGGAGGGGUUGGAGGGCUGGGCAAGGGUGAAAAAUAAGAACCAAGAGAGACCAUGUAAAGAUGCAAAUUUCCAAUGAUGA